AGAGUUUGAUCAUGGCUCAGAACGAACGCUGGCGGCAUGCCUAACACAUGCAAGUCGAACGCUCCGCAAGGGGAGUGGCGAACGGGUGAGUAACGCGUGGGAACCUGCCCAGUAGUUGGGGAUAACCGCGGGAAACUGCGGCUAAUACCGAAUACGCCCUUAGGGGGAAAGAUUUAUCGCUAUUGGAGGGGCCCGCGUCGGAUUAGCUAGUUGGUGAGGUAACGGCUCACCAAGGCGACGAUCCGUAGCUGGUCUGAGAGGAUGAUCAGCCACACUGGGACUUAGACACGGCCCAGACUCCUACGGGAGGCAGCAGUGGGGAAUAUUGGACAAUGGGGGCAACCCUGAUCCAGCAAUGCCGCGUGAGUGAUGAAGGCCUUAGGGUUGUAAAGCUCUUUUACCGGGGACGAUGAUGACGGUACCCGAGAAUAGC
RNAcentral lists this ribosomal RNA (433 nucleotides) under uncultured Prosthecomicrobium sp. RNAcentral's name for it is "bacterial SSU rRNA". It matches the Rfam family "Bacterial small subunit ribosomal RNA", at positions 8 to 491 of the family's 1533-position model. The record is from RNAcentral. Lineage: Bacteria; Pseudomonadati; Pseudomonadota; Alphaproteobacteria; Hyphomicrobiales; Kaistiaceae.